RNAcentral lists this ribosomal RNA (399 nucleotides) under uncultured bacterium. RNAcentral describes it as "bacterial SSU rRNA". It matches the Rfam family "Bacterial small subunit ribosomal RNA", at positions 30 to 429 of the family's 1533-position model. The record is from RNAcentral.
AUUGAACGCUGGCGGCAUGCCUUACACAUGCAAGUCGAACGGCAGCACGGGAGCUUGCUCCUGGUGGCGAGUGGCGAACGGGUGAGUAAAGCAUCGGAACGUAUCCGGAAGUGGGGGAUAACGUAGCGAAAGUUACGCUAAUACCGCAUAUUCUGUGAGCAGGAAAGAGGGGGAUCGCAAGACCUCUCGCUUUCGGAGCGGCCGAUGUCGGAUUAGCUAGUUGGUGGGGUAAAGGCUCACCAAGGCAACGAUCCGUAGCGGGUCUGAGAGGAUGAUCCGCCACACUGGAACUGAGACACGGUCCAGACUCCUACGGGAGGCGGCAGUGGGGAAUUUUGGACAAUGGGCGCAAGCCUGAUCCAGCCAUGCCGCGUGAGUGAAGAAGGCCUCGGUUGUAAG